RNAcentral lists this long non-coding RNA (250 nucleotides) under Helianthus annuus (common sunflower). Its description in RNAcentral is "sRNA HanXRQr2_Chr14g0645781". Lineage: Eukaryota; Viridiplantae; Streptophyta; Magnoliopsida; Asterales; Asteraceae. The record is from RNAcentral.
AAUGAAGAAAAACAAUUACAAGCUGGUUCCCGAGCUUAAAAACAUAACAAACCAUGAAGAACUCCGUUGAAAGUGGGACGAGGUUAUCAGUGUCAACAGUUUCGUUGACGACCAGAAAAAAAUUCCUUAUCUGACAAGGGAGAUUCAGUUUCUGUUUUCUAAAAAAGAUGCAGGAUUCUUCAAGUUUCAGCCCACAGCCAAAACCGAUUUCCACCAGUUUGAAUCUUAGUGGUUUUAUUUUAUUUGAAGC